AACGAACGCUGGCGGCAGGCCUAACACAUGCAAGUCGAACGCUCUAGCAAUAGAGAGUGGCAGACGGGGGAGUAACGCGUGGGGACCUUCCCAAUGGUGCAGAAUAGCCCAGGGAAACUUGGGGUAAUACUGCAUAAGCCCUUCGGGGGAAAGAUUUAUCGCCAUUGGAUGGGCGCGCGUCGGAUUAGCUAGUUGGUGAGGUAAUGGCUCACCAAGGCAACGAUCCGUAGCUGGUUUGAGAGAAUGACCAGCCACACUGGGACUGAGACACGGCCCAGACUCCUACGGGAGGCAGCAGUGGGGAAUCUUGGACAAUGGGCGCAAGCCUGAUCCAGCCAUGCCGCGUGAGUGACGAAGGCCUUAGGGUUGUAAAGCUCUUUUGCCGGGGACGAUAAUGACGGUACCCGGAGAGUAAGUCCCGGCUAACUUCGUGCCAGCCGCCGCCGUAA
RNAcentral lists this ribosomal RNA (449 nucleotides) under uncultured bacterium. RNAcentral describes it as "partial 16S ribosomal RNA". It matches the Rfam family "Bacterial small subunit ribosomal RNA", at positions 29 to 523 of the family's 1533-position model. The record is from RNAcentral.